This 474-nucleotide ribosomal RNA is filed under the name uncultured bacterium. Its description in RNAcentral is "bacterial SSU rRNA". It matches the Rfam family "Bacterial small subunit ribosomal RNA", at positions 28 to 491 of the family's 1533-position model. The record is from RNAcentral.
GAUGAACGCUAGCUACAGGCUUAACACAUGCAAGUCGAGGGGCAGCAUGGAGUUUGCUUGCAAACUCUGAUGGCGACCGGCGCACGGGUGAGUAACGCGUAUCCAACCUGCCCAUUACUCGGGCAUAGCCCAGUGAAAACUGGAUUAACUCCCGAUGCUGUUCUGAUUGGGCAUCUUAUCAGGACAAAAGUUUACGGUAAUGGAUGGGGAUGCGUCUGAUUAGGUAGUAGGCGGGGUAACGGCCCACCUAGCCGACGAUCAGUAGGGGUUCUGAGAGGAAGGUCCCCCANACUGGAACUGAGACACGGUCCAGACUCCUACGGGAGGCAGCAGUGAGGAAUAUUGGUCAAUGGGCGAGAGCCUGAACCAGCCAAGUAGCGUGCAGGGAAGACGGCCCUAUGGGUUGUAAACUGCUUUUAUGCGGGAAUAAGAUCAGAUACGUGUAUCUGCGUGCGAUGUACCGCAUGAAUAAGG